Molecule: small RNA, 665 nt
Filed under: Pan troglodytes (chimpanzee)
Lineage: Eukaryota; Metazoa; Chordata; Mammalia; Primates; Hominidae
Description: retained intron
Source: RNAcentral
UCUAGUUUUAUUUCCUCUUCUGUGAAUUGUCUGUGUGUGUCCCUUGGCCGUUUCUGAAUCAUUUGUUAUGUUUAAACCAGAUCACAUCUUGGGAGAGGCCUCCUGGCUGAGGGCCAGAUGCUGGUUACUUGGACACAGUGGAUAUAAUGGCUUGGGUCCCCAGAUCUCCCUGCAGAGUUCACCCAUCCCCUCUUCAGCUGGCCUUGGAGGGAUGAUCCUCUCCUAGCAGCACUGUGCUCACCAUGUUUUUUCCAGGAAUGUACCAGAAGGAAUGGCCAGGUUUUCAUAACCAACUUGGCCACCUUCACCGAGAAGUUCCUACUGCAGUUGGAUGAGGUGGUCACCAUUGACGAUGUCCAGGUUGCAAGGAUGGAGCCCCCCAAACAGAAAUUAUCAAUGCUCAUACGAAGGAAACUCGCUGGGCUCUCCCUGAAGGAAGAGAGUGAGAAACCCCUGAUUGAACGUGGAAGCAGGAAGUGGCCAGGGAUCAAACCCACCGAAGUCAGCAUCCAAAACAAGAUUCUUCUCCGGCCAACAUCAUCGAUUUCCACCACCAAAACCACCCUGGGCCACCUGGCGGCCGUGGAAGCCCGAGAUGCUGUGUACCUGAAAUAUUUAGCAUCAUUUGAGGAGGAGCUGAAGAGGAUCCAGGAUGACUGCACAUC